GAACGGUCUGGAAAGUCCGACGAUACAGGGUGAUAGUCCCGUAGUUGACGAUGCAUGUUCAGUGAAAUCGAGUAGGGCGGGACACGUGUUAUCCUGUCUGAAUAUGGGGGGACCAUCCUCCAAGGCUAAAUACUCCUGACUGACCGAUAGUGAACCAGUACCGUGAGGGAAAGGCGAAAAGAACCCCUGUGAGGGGAGUGAAAUAGAACCUGAAACCGUGUACGUACAAGCAGUAGGAGCACCUUCGUGGUGUGACUGCGUACCUUUUGUAUAAUGGGUCAGCGACUUAUAUUCAGUGGCAAGGUUAACCAUCUAGGGGAGCCGUAGGGAAACCGAGUCUUAACUGGGCGCCAUAGUCUCUGGAUAUAGACCCGAAACCGAGUGAUCUAGCCAUGGGCAGGUUGAAGGUUGAGUAACAUCAACUGGAGGACCGAACCGACUAAUGUUGAAAAAUUAGCGGAUGACUUGUGGCUAGGGGUGAAAGGCCAAUCAAACUCGGAGAUAGCUGGUUCUCCCCGAAAGCUAUUUAGGUAGCGCCUCGGACGAAUACUACUGGGGGUAGAGCACUGUUAAGGCUAGGGGGUCAUCCCGACUUACCAACCCUUUGCAAACUCCGAAUACCAGUAAGUACUAUCCGGGAGACACACGGCGGGUGCUAACGUCCGUCGUGGAGAGGGAAACAACCCAGACCGCCAGCUAAGGUCCCAAAUUACAGCUAAGUGGGAAACGAUGUGGGAAGGCUUAGACAGCUAGGAUGUUGGCUUAGAAGCAGCCAUCAUUUAAAGAAAGCGUAAUAGCUCACUAGUCGAGUCGGCCUGCGCGGAAGAUGUAACGGGGCUAAGUUGUAAACCGAAGCUGCGGCAAUGUUCUAUGAACAUUGGGUAGGGGAGCGUUCUGUAAGCCGUUGAAGGUGUGUUGUAAAGCAUGCUGGAGGUAUCAGAAGUGCGAAUGCUGACAUGAGUAACGACAAGGGGGGUGAAAAACCUCCCCGCCGGAAGACCAAGGGUUCCUGUCCAACGUUAAUCGGGGCAGGGUAAGUCGACCCCUAAGGCGAGGCUGAAAAGCGUAGUCGAUGGGAAACGGGUUAAUAUUCCCGUACUUCUUACAAUUGCGAUGGGGGGACGGAGAAGGCUAGGUGGGCCUGGCGACGGUUGUCCAGGUUCAAGUGCGUAGGCUGAGUGUUUAGGUAAAUCCGGAUACUCUUAAGGCUGAGACACGACGUCGAGCUACUACGGUAGUGAAGUCAUUGAUGCCAUGCUUCCAGGAAAAGCCUCUAAGCUUCAGAUUGUAAGGAAUCGUACCCCAAACCGACACAGGUGGUCGGGUAGAGAAUACCAAGGCGCUUGAGAGAACUCGGGUGAAGGAACUAGGCAAAAUGGUACCGUAACUUCGGGAGAAGGUACGCUCUUGAUGGUGAAGUCCCUUGCGGAUGGAGCUGACGAGAGUCGCAGAUACCAGGUGGCUGCAACUGUUUAUUAAAAACACAGCACUGUGCAAAAUCGUAAGAUGACGUAUACGGUGUGACGCCUGCCCGGUGCCGGAAGGUUAAUUGAUGGGGUUAGCG
Molecule: ribosomal RNA, 1564 nt
Filed under: Vibrio vulnificus
Lineage: Bacteria; Pseudomonadati; Pseudomonadota; Gammaproteobacteria; Vibrionales; Vibrionaceae
Description: partial 23S ribosomal RNA
Rfam family: Bacterial large subunit ribosomal RNA
Source: RNAcentral